Molecule: transfer RNA, 85 nt
Filed under: Felis catus (domestic cat)
Lineage: Eukaryota; Metazoa; Chordata; Mammalia; Carnivora; Felidae
Also listed under: 1 other name
Rfam family: tRNA
About the family: Transfer RNA (tRNA) molecules are approximately 80 nucleotides in length.
Source: Rfam by way of RNAcentral
GCCUGCGUGGCUCAGUCGGUAAAGUGUCCGACUUCAGCUCAGGUCAUGGUCCCACAGUUCUUGGGUUCGAGUCCCACUUCAGGCU